This 349-nucleotide ribosomal RNA is filed under the name uncultured bacterium. Its description in RNAcentral is "bacterial SSU rRNA". It matches the Rfam family "Bacterial small subunit ribosomal RNA", at positions 71 to 422 of the family's 1533-position model. The record is from RNAcentral.
CAGGCGUAGCAAUACGUGCUGACGAGCGGCGAACGGGUGAGUAAUGAUUCGGAAUCUUCCUCGUAGUGGGGAAUAACCUGGGGAAACUCAGGCUAAUAACGCAUACGAACUACGGUUGAAAGCAGGGGAUCGCAAGACCUUGCGCUAUGAGAUGAGCCGAAUUCGGAUUAGCUAGUUGGUGGGGUAAAGGCCUACCAAGGCGACGAUCCGUAGCUGGUCUGAGAGGACGACCAGCCACACUGGGACUGAGACACGGCCCAGACUCCUACGGGAGGCAGCAGUGGGGAAUAUUGGACAAUGGGGGCAACCCUGAUCCAGCGACGCCGCGUGUGUGAAGAAGGCCUUCGGG